CCUACGGGAGGCUGCAGUGAGGAAUAUUGGUCAAUGGGCGCGAGCCUGAACCAGCCAAGUAGCGUGAAGGAUGACUGCCCUACGGGUUGUAAACUUCUUUUAUAAAGGAAUAAAGUGAGGCACGUGUGCCUUUUUGUAGUUACUUUAUGAAUAAGGAUCGGCUAACUCCGUGCCAGCAGCCGCGGUAAUACGGAGGGUUCGAGCGUUAUCCGGAUUUAUUGGGUUUAAAGGGAGAGUAGGUGGGUUAUUAAGGCAGUUGUGAACGUUUGCGGAUCAACCGUAAAAUUGCAAUUGAUACUGGCAGUCUUGAGUACAGUUGAGGUAGGCGGAAUUCGUGGUGUAGCGGUGAAAUGCUUAGAUAUCACGAAGAACUCCGAUUGCGAAGGCAGCUUACUAAACUGCCACUGACAUUGAUGCUCGAAAGUGUGGGUAUCAAACAGGAUUAGAUACCCUGGUAGUC
This 460-nucleotide ribosomal RNA is filed under the name uncultured bacterium. RNAcentral describes it as "partial 16S ribosomal RNA". It matches the Rfam family "Bacterial small subunit ribosomal RNA", at positions 338 to 795 of the family's 1533-position model. The record is from RNAcentral.